GACGAACGCUGGCGGCGUGCUUAACACAUGCAAGUCGAACGGAAAGGCCCUGCUUUUGUGGGGUGCUCGAGUGGCGAACGGGUGAGUAACACGUGAGUAACCUGCCCUUGACUUUGGGAUAACUUCAGGAAACUGGGGCUAAUACCGGAUAGGAGCUCCUGCUGCAUGGUGGGGGUUGGAAAGUUUCGGCGGUUGGGGAUGGACUCGCGGCUUAUCAGCUUGUUGGUGGGGUAGUGGCUUACCAAGGCUUUGACGGGUAGCCGGCCUGAGGGGGUGACCGGCAAAAUUGGGACGGAGAUACGCCCCGACCCCCUGCGGGAGGAGGAGGGGGGAAAUAUUGAACAGGGGGCGGAAGCCGGAGCCAGCACCGCCGCGUGCGGAAGGGCGGCUUUCGGUUUGAAACCCGCUUGCACUUGGGACGAGGGGGGAGGGCGGGUAAGGGAAAAAAAAGCCCCGGCAAAUUAGGUC
RNAcentral lists this ribosomal RNA (468 nucleotides) under uncultured bacterium. RNAcentral's name for it is "partial 16S ribosomal RNA". It matches the Rfam family "Bacterial small subunit ribosomal RNA", at positions 28 to 507 of the family's 1533-position model. The record is from RNAcentral.